This 253-nucleotide ribosomal RNA is filed under the name uncultured bacterium. RNAcentral's name for it is "partial 16S ribosomal RNA". It matches the Rfam family "Bacterial small subunit ribosomal RNA", at positions 524 to 776 of the family's 1533-position model. The record is from RNAcentral.
GACGUAGGGCGCGAGCGUUGUCCGGAUUUAUUGGGCGUAAAGAGCUCGUAGGCGGCUUGUCGCUUCGACUGUGAAAUCCCGCGGCUCAACCGCAGGUCUGCAGUCGAUACGGGCAGACUAGAGUGCGGUAGGGGAGAUUGGAAUUCCUGGUGUAGCGGUGGAAUGCGCAGAUGUCAGGAGGAACACCGAUGGCGAAGGCAGAUCUCUGGGCCGUAACUGACGCUGAGGAGCGAAAGCAUGGGGAGCGAACAGG